ACAACCAUUCUCGUCAGCGUUUCACACAGCAAGUGUUUCGUCAGCUUUUCACAUUGCAGCUGUGCACGUGAACACGUGUUCACACCGAAUUUUACCGCACCACGCCAUCCUGCUCGCUUACCUCUGGCGCCAUGGCUCCCCGCGCCACGCUCCUGCUCUUCCUCCUCGUCGGGCUGCUCGUCGUCCACCUUUUGACCUUUGUUUCACUGCGACGCACACUACACAGUGCAUUUGUGUUCACACGACUCUCCACAUCUUCUUCAGUCCCGCAAUCCUGUAGCGCGUGGAGCGCCCAUGAAAGCAUGCAGUCUCUGCUCUUUUUGUCCGUGUUCAUGCUGAUCUCUUUGUCAUCCCGUUCAUACUGAAACUCGCCGUCCUCUCCUUGCUCUUCAUCUACCACCCCUCGCCGCAUUCGUUGCUUCGUGCUCGUCGUGCCCGUGAUCUUCGCGGCCGGCUCCCCAAGCGUUCCAGAGCAUGAACGACGUUUUUCCCCACACCUCUCGGCCUCUGGUUUUCCCUCAGAUCCAUCCAGUGCAGUGCAGGCAUCGGCGGCGGCGCUUCGCAGGCCCCGGCUCCUCCCUCGCGGCCGGCUAGGCGGCAGCCAUCGCUCCUGACGUGCGUCCUCCUCCCUCACGUCGUCGUCGUCACCGCCGCCCGUCCCCUUCCCCACACCGCGCCACUGCUACCGUCCGCACCCUUCCCCCCGCACCGCCGUCGCAGCCACAGCCCGCACCACCGCUGGCACCUGUGCGGCUCGCCGCGGCGAGGCACGGGUAGCCCCGCCGUUUCCACCAAACACCGCCUCCUACCGUCCCGUCCUUCCACGCCUUGCCCGAGUUCUUGGCAGUGGCGGCGCGCACGGCGCUGGUGACGCUGCUGCUCGCCAACGGCGCCGCCUUUUGCCUCGUCGCCGCCGCCGCCGUGCGCCUCCGCCUCGACCCGCCCUGCAUCAUCUGCGCCGGCGUCCACUGCCCUGCACCGCCUCCACUCUGGCCGCAGCGUCAUCGGUGUCGGCCGCAGCGUCCAUCGAUUUGCAGAUGCCGAUGAGCAGGGCGCCAUCACUGGCAUCCGUCCUAGCGACCUCGACGGCCUCUAGGACAAGACUUCCGCCACCCGUAGGAGCCGCCACGCCACCUCCUGCGCUCCUCCGUCACGGCGGCUGCCUCUCUACUACGAAGUUUCAUAGGCCCGUCACACCCAUACUGUCCCCAACUCCUGACAUGUCUGAAUACCUCUGUUCUUCUUUGCCUUCUGCACUUGCUUUCUUCCUCCUCCGGCCAUUUUGGUUUUUUCGACUUCAUUCGCGUUUGGGUGCCGCUGCUGGUGCGCUCUUAGCUACACCCUUUCCUUUUAUUCUGUGUUUGAUCCUUCGGUUCAUGAAGAGUUCCUGCAUAUCGCGCGGAUCUAGGAGUUUUGCUGCAAGUUUCUCCGUCCAGUGCCAGAUCUAGGAGCACUCUCAUCUCCUCCUUGGUGUCGCAGGCAAACAAGAAUCUAGAUUCGUUCUGUAGGUUUGUAGGAUCCUCAACUGCCACUGAUAUUCCAAGUGUGAAAAUGUUGACAAGUUAUGCAUUCUCUUGUCUUGCUGAUCAUAUGUAUGGCCUGCCAUGGAAGGCUUCUUGUCCCAAUGAUGACCUUGCACAUGUCCUGCAAUUUACUCAGGUGACCAUUUGCAUGUGUUCUGCAAUUUACUCCAGUUUCAUGUGAUGUGGUCUUGCGUCUUUUCCAGAUUAUAUUUAUCUGUUCAUUAGUAGGUAAUUAGAUUUAUUUAUUAGUAUUUUAUUUCUUCCAAAAUACCUACCUACCAAAUCUGGUAGGGAUCCUAACUUCUUGGUAAGUUUCCAUAUCAACAACCAUUAGAUCAUCAAAUUCAGAUUUCAUUACUCUUGCAUGAUCUUUAACUUAACUAUAGUGCUCAUACUUUGUUCAUUAUACCAUUACAGGCCACAAUUUCACUUUCAAAGAUGGCCAUGUAAACAACUAGCCAAUAACAUUAAAGUUGGUCAAUUGCUACCAUCAUUUACUUGCCACACAUAAGGAAAUGCAUGCAGUUUAGAGCCGCCACAUCCCUUUUAGUUCAGGUCCUGAUUCCUUCCAUGAUAACCUUAGUCCUUAGCAAAUGCGAUGGAGUCUACAUGGUUCAGAUUUGAGUCUGCAUUAUUUAAUCACUUUAUGGCAUUACCUUACCAGCUGCUUCACCAGCCACUGAAUUAUGGAACAGCAUCCAGUUGUUAAUCUAUCUUGUUUUGAUGGGGAUGCCUCUCUAACACCAGAGAAAAAAAAACAGAAAUUAAGCUUCUGUAUGCUACCUAAACUAACAUCUUUUCUUUGUUGAGCAUCAUUUUCUGCAGGAUGAAACAAGCUGACAGGAGCAGUCAUCUGUGGAAUCAGAUUUCGUCCAUUUUGUACAUUAUGUAGGCACCUCCUUAAAAUACCAUCGAGGACCGCAUAUUCAGCAACUUAGCUUACCAUGUAACCAUCAUUUCCUUUAGUGUGCCUGCUGAUGUUAAACAUGGUUACCAGCUGCCAUGACUUCUACCUGUUUGCACUUAACUUUCUAGACCUUGUGCUAUAUAUAACCUUAUUUCCUAUUCUAUCUUCUUGUAGUAGUACCUGUGUGGUUUAUGUCAUUUACGGUCAAUGAGCUGAUGAACCUUAUGUA
Panicum virgatum (switchgrass) is the source of this 2659-nucleotide long non-coding RNA. RefSeq lists it as uncharacterized. The transcript has 4 exons. The record is from RefSeq and is a predicted model, not a curated record. Lineage: Eukaryota; Viridiplantae; Streptophyta; Magnoliopsida; Poales; Poaceae.